This 1361-nucleotide ribosomal RNA is filed under the name Microbacterium sp. 08XMFR-4. RNAcentral's name for it is "bacterial SSU rRNA". It matches the Rfam family "Bacterial small subunit ribosomal RNA", at positions 68 to 1440 of the family's 1533-position model. The record is from RNAcentral. Lineage: Bacteria; Bacillati; Actinomycetota; Actinomycetes; Micrococcales; Microbacteriaceae.
GGUGAAGCCAAGCUUGCUUGGUGGAUCAGUGGCGAACGGGUGAGUAACACGUGAGCAACCUGCCCUGAACUCUGGGAUAAGCGCUGGAAACGGUGUCUAAUACUGGAUAUGAGCUGCGGAGGCAUCUUCGUGGUUGGAAAGAUUUUUCGGUUUGGGAUGGGCUCGCGGCCUAUCAGCUUGUUGGUGAGGUAAUGGCUCACCAAGGCGUCGACGGGUAGCCGGCCUGAGAGGGUGACCGGCCACACUGGGACUGAGACACGGCCCAGACUCCUACGGGAGGCAGCAGUGGGGAAUAUUGCACAAUGGGCGGAAGCCUGAUGCAGCAACGCCGCGUGAGGGAUGACGGCCUUCGGGUUGUAAACCUCUUUUAGCAGGGAAGAAGCGUGAGUGACGGUACCUGCAGAAAAAGCGCCGGCUAACUACGUGCCAGCAGCCGCGGUAAUACGUAGGGCGCAAGCGUUAUCCGGAAUUAUUGGGCGUAAAGAGCUCGUAGGCGGUUUGUCGCGUCUGCUGUGAAAACCCGAGGCUCAACCUCGGGCCUGCAGUGGGUACGGGCAGACUAGAGUGCGGUAGGGGAGAUUGGAAUUCCUGGUGUAGCGGUGGAAUGCGCAGAUAUCAGGAGGAACACCGAUGGCGAAGGCAGAUCUCUGGGCCGUAACUGACGCUGAGGAGCGAAAGGGUGGGGAGCAAACAGGCUUAGAUACCCUGGUAGUCCACCCCGUAAACGUUGGGAACUAGUUGUGGGGUCCAUUCCACGGAUUCCGUGACGCAGCUAACGCAUUAAGUUCCCCGCCUGGGGAGUACGGCCGCAAGGCUAAAACUCAAAGGAAUUGACGGGGACCCGCACAAGCGGCGGAGCAUGCGGAUUAAUUCGAUGCAACGCGAAGAACCUUACCAAGGCUUGACAUACACGAGAACGCUGCAGAAAUGUAGAACUCUUUGGACACUCGUGAACAGGUGGUGCAUGGUUGUCGUCAGCUCGUGUCGUGAGAUGUUGGGUUAAGUCCCGCAACGAGCGCAACCCUCGUUCUAUGUUGCCAGCACGUAAUGGUGGGAACUCAUGGGAUACUGCCGGGGUCAACUCGGAGGAAGGUGGGGAUGACGUCAAAUCAUCAUGCCCCUUAUGUCUUGGGCUUCACGCAUGCUACAAUGGCCGGUACAAAGGGCUGCAAUACCGCGAGGUGGAGCGAAUCCCAAAAAGCCGGUCCCAGUUCGGAUUGAGGUCUGCAACUCGACCUCAUGAAGUCGGAGUCGCUAGUAAUCGCAGAUCAGCAACGCUGCGGUGAAUACGUUCCCGGGUCUUGUACACACCGCCCGUCAAGUCAUGAAAGUCGGUAACACCUGAAGCCGGUGGCCCAACC